UGCAUCGGCCGGGAAUCAAACCCGGCGAGGGCGGCGGGCGAGCAUUCUACCACUGAACCACCGAUGC
Cordylochernes scorpioides is the source of this 67-nucleotide non-coding RNA. The record is from the annotation of a GenBank genome assembly. NCBI's taxonomy places the organism in Eukaryota, Metazoa, Arthropoda, Arachnida, Pseudoscorpiones, Chernetidae.